GGGAGCUGCUUUCAGCCUGGGACACCAGGCACAGGAAUCAGGGUGUAAGCAUUUUGUGCUUUAUUUAUUUACUUAUGGACAUUUCCCACAGCUGCCUGAGAUGAGAGCACCCCUGAGGCUGCUCCUGGGCCAGGUCACUGUGCCCAGCCCAAAGUUCACUGCUGUGUACAAAGCUCCAGGUGCUCUCUGCUCUCUGCUCCAAGGAGAUCCUCUUCACAGCAGGAAGCCUGCCCAGGGUCAUCCUGUGAGACUUAGCUCUUCAGUGAAACCACAAAUCCAGAGGAGUAGGGGGAGUCCAGUUCAGGGAACAACAUCUGUUGGGACCAUUGAACAAAGGGUACCUGAAUUUUUCACCAUUCCAGUCGAUGCAACAAAGCAUUGUGUCUUGGAGAAAAGAGCCAAUUAUUUCUGUUUGGGAAAGCUCUCAAAGGAGCACAUCCUCUUGCCCCCAAGGCCAGGAUGAUCACCAGUGUCAGUGACCCAGGGCUCAGACACACUCCUGGUACCAGGUACAAGGAUGUCACCUCCUGUUGCCACCAUCCCUGUGGUUUUUCCCCUCUGUGACCCCAUCCCAGAGUGCAGGGUGCACCUCUGCUGCAGCUGAACAGCCACAUUUAUUGAAAACAUUUAGCAAGGCUGUGGUCCUGCUGUGACCCUCCAGCAACAGACUGGGAUUUAAAAACAAUUCUCCAGCAGCACCAGGCUGUGCCUGAGGAUCCAGCAGUCCUGAAACAUUUCCUGGCACUGGGAAAAGAGAAAAUUUGUUUGCCAUGUUAAAGUAACAGCUGAAAGAACCUGCAUUUUGUCAGGGCUUAUUUUCUCCCUCUCUCUGCCCUUUUCUACCUACCUGUUUUGGUUUUUUUUUAAUUUUGAAAUAAAGUUCUGAUUGUUAUGGAGUUUUCUGAAAGGCUCUGGAGAAAACAUAUAUGUUGAUUAAAGUUAAGAAAACUUUUGGAAAUAAAGGUUUUGAAAGUAGAAGUGGCGUUUAGGUCAGUGUUUAAAGACAUGCAGAAAGAAAAAAAAAAGACAAUAAAACAAUCCCAAAAUACAAAGACAUUGUUUUAAGGGCAAGUUUGAUCUCUGUAAGAAAAUUCUCCAGACUUAGUGAUUUCAUUUGAAAACAAGGAAAACCAGACCUUCUGUUUAGAAUAAUUAUAAAAAAGGUGGUUGAAUAUACAUUUAAAGCACUGUUCCAUAAUACUUUUAAGAUAUUAAGACUUUUAAAAGUCAUUUAUUGAAAUAGCCUGUACUUUUUUUCAGCACCUGACCUGAAGUUAAUUACAGUCAAAGGUGGAACUGCAGCAGUUCUACCAACCUCAGUUAAAAUGAGCAUUGGAAGGAAAGAAAAUUUCGGAUAGAAAAGAAAAAAUGUCUAAAUUGUAGCUAAGAGGAAAUUUUGGAACUUUGAGGUUCAGAAAUGCCUGCAUACCAGUACUUUAUUAUUGCCAGCAACAUUGGCACAGCUUAGGGGUAUGAGCCCCUUUUUAAAAGCAUAUUCCCUUCACAGUGGAUCUGAAAGCCUGUCAGGAAAAUCAACCCUUUUAGCAGCAUUUACAUCUGUACUCAGCCUUCAGUGUUGCUGGAUCUCUGUGGGAUUUAAACGUAUCCUUAAAUGCUGCCCUUGGAGACAUUUUCCUGAGAAACUCAUUUUCUGAAACACGGCCCCUAAAUGCAUGGAAAACCAGCAAGGCAUCUUUGUCUUCCCAUUUCCUGAACUUCAGCUCAAUUAUAAAAACACUGAUUUUUAAAAGUUCUUCCAAAGGAGCUCUUUUCUUGUCACCAUGUGUCACUCUGUCAGUCAUACUUCAAGCCAUGGAUUUGAAAACCGACCUGCAAAAGCAGCUGCCUUUGUCAGAGAUGUAACUUGACAGCUUCUCUGGGG
This is a long non-coding RNA of Zonotrichia albicollis (white-throated sparrow), 1882 nucleotides long. RefSeq lists it as uncharacterized. NCBI's taxonomy places the organism in Eukaryota, Metazoa, Chordata, Aves, Passeriformes, Passerellidae. The record is from RefSeq and is a predicted model, not a curated record.